RNAcentral lists this transfer RNA (74 nucleotides) under Salipiger sp. PrR003. RNAcentral describes it as "Yangia sp. PrR003 tRNA-Lys". It matches the Rfam family "tRNA". Rfam says of the family: Transfer RNA (tRNA) molecules are approximately 80 nucleotides in length. Lineage: Bacteria; Pseudomonadati; Pseudomonadota; Alphaproteobacteria; Rhodobacterales; Roseobacteraceae. The record is from RNAcentral.
GGACCCGUAGCUGAGUGGUUUAUCAAUCGACUUUUAAUCGAUUGACGCCAGUUCGAUUCUGGCCGGGUCUGCCA